GAGAGAGAGAGAGAGCGAGGGAGAGAUUGCACUGGGGAGUUGAGUGUGUGUGAGAGAGAGAGGGAGAGAGAGAGCGCGCACUGGGGAUGUGUGUGUGUGAGAGAGAGAGAGAGAGCGAGAGAGAGAGCGCGAGCGCAUUGGGGAGGUGUGUGUGAGAGAGUGAGAGAGUGAGAGAGAGACAGAGAGAGAGAGCGCACUGGGGAUGGGAGAGGGAGAGAGAGAGACAGAGCACUGGGGAGGUGUCCGACACAUGACCAGACGUUCGCGCCUCUUUUGGAUUCCCGAAGAUUCAAAACAAGUUUUCGAGGUUGUUGGAAGAUUCCUGUGGAUCAUGUCUCCUAUAAAGGCACUCUAAAUUGGAUGUCAGUGCUUGUAAGCAAACUAAUCCCAUCCACGCUUUUCCUGCUAAGGUGCAUCUUGUGCAGUCAGUGAUCCAGUGUAGUAUCUACUGCGCUUGGUGCUCCUUCAGGCAGGAGACGGUGUACGUUCAACGACUGGAAGCCGUGUCCUGCGUUAAGCAUGUGUAAACCUCCUUGAAUUAUUGAUCACGCUGUCCUAUUUGUUAACACACUCCCCGGAGAGUAUGUAAUGGCACUUUGUGCUUGGCUUGUCGUCCUGGCAGUUCCAAAGUGCUCACAGUGCAGGUAGUAGCCGCUGAUCUACUGCAGUGUGUGCACUUCAUGUAUUGCCGGUCAUCUGCAUCAGGACAAUCGGAGCAACACUGGGAAUGCUCUGUUGCACAGCGAGUUUUGCAGGUUUGCAUCCAGCUUUAAUACAAUAUGCUGUGCAAAUCCAUGCAAAACUGGCGGUUACAGGGGGAAACUUCACCAAUGAAUCUAAAACUAAACAUGCUUCUGGGUUUGCAAUACGUUUGUAUGCAUUUCGCGUUUUAGAUAAGGAUGUACACACGUGCAUUUAGUUGUUUCACCAGCUGAUGUACACAAGCAUGGCUGGUUGUUUGUUUGUUUGUUUGUUUGUUUAUUUAUUUGUCAGUUUUGUUCUAGUUGCAUGCAUAUGUUUGUCUUGCUGUUUUCGGGUGGAUGACUUUGCAAUUUUAGCGAUACUCGAAAUAUUCUCUGAAAAAAAUUGCACGGUAUCCAUCUGUAAUCCGCCAGAUCACGUGACCCCUCAGAGCAGCAUAGUAUGUUUUGAAACUAUAACAGUAUAAAUUACUUGUGCUGGUUUCCAGUUUCAAGUAUCAUAAUCAGUAUCAGCCUCUUUAUCUACUUAUUGGCAAAUGAAAAUACUCUUGUAUCUGGUGUUAAAUCAUCCCUUUUUGGCCCACACAGGUAUAUACAGUAUGGCCAGCAGGUGGCGGUGUAGACUCGCGUAAGCAAAAUCUGUUUUCCUGGAACGUUGUUUUUUGUUUUUUGGGUUUUUUUUUUUUUGCUAGUAGUUAGUUGUCCAACAUAAUCUAGGCUAAAUGUGCUAACUGUAUUUGUCCGAGUGAUGAAAUGAAAAGACCCUUUGCAUGUAAAACUGAGUGUAAUAACUGUAUCUUUGCCUCCAGUACAUAUAAAACAUUCUUAGAGUUUUUAAAUGAUGUCUGUUGAACAAACGUUUUGUUGAAAUAAACAAUAAACAUUUUGUCUCCGCA
This is a long non-coding RNA of Ictalurus punctatus (channel catfish), 1597 nucleotides long. RefSeq lists it as uncharacterized. Lineage: Eukaryota; Metazoa; Chordata; Actinopteri; Siluriformes; Ictaluridae. The transcript is spliced from 2 exons. The record is from RefSeq and is a predicted model, not a curated record.